Molecule: non-coding RNA, 5048 nt
Organism: Oryza sativa Japonica Group (Japanese rice)
Lineage: Eukaryota; Viridiplantae; Streptophyta; Magnoliopsida; Poales; Poaceae
Source: RefSeq, a predicted model, not a curated record
AUUUGAGUAACAGAAAGUAGAAGUGCAGUGGUUAUGCGGCUAUUUCAAAAUCCGCUGAAGGAAAUAGCAACAUUGCAAAGUGGUACAAUCGGUGCUACCUGAUGCCAAAACCUAUAUACACAGGAAAUAGCAACACUAAGUACCAGUAAUUUUAAUUGUAGCUGGACAGAGCAAAAUUUUGGUUAGGUAUAGCAUACAUAAUAAAUUAAAUAUAUCUUUGCCACUUAAACCUAUAUACACAGGCAACUUUUUUUACUUUUUCAUUUCCAAAGGUUUGCUUCUGUGUUAAACUUAGUGUUUUUUUAUCAAACUAUGCAAGCUGAACGAGUGUAAGGAUAUUUUUGAGCCUUUGUAUAGUUUUAUUUAUGAUCUAGGCGCACCUACUUGAAGCCACAUCUAUCUUGAACUUUUUUAAACCACUCAUUUAAUUUUUAUUUCUGGCUAGAACAUUGAUAUAACCUUUUGUUGUAUAGGUUGCCAUUCUUGACAGUGUGACCAUGAGUGGUAGCAGAGAUGUUUCCAUUCCUAUAGCGUUUUGCAUUGCCACUAAGAACAGUAUGUAAUUUUUUCCUUGGUUUAUUUUUUGUGCUAUUGGUCUGUUAAUAGGUGCAUCCUAAGAUGAGAAAAUACUUUCUGGAUUAUCUCCUGAUCUGUUUUGUCACAAUUGUCCAUCGAGCAGGAGUGCACUUAGUUCAGUUUGUUCUUUUAGGAUAUUACAUGUUAACCUUUGAAAUCUAAACUUUGGAUGGAGAGUUUGACAUGUUUCAGGUUAUACUACCAACCAGGUUAUAGGUUAGAAUAGGAUUGGUAAGUUAUAUUUAUAAAUAUUUGUGCCUUUUACUUACAUUUUGAGGUAUAGAUAUGUGUGCCAAUUAAGAGAUACUACCUCCGUUUUUUAAUAGAUGAUACUGUUGACUUUUUGUUGCACGUUUGACCAUUCGUCUUAUUCAAAAAAUGUACGUAAUUAUAAUUUAUUUUGUUACGAGUUGUUUUAUCACUCAAAAUACUUUAAGCAUGAUUUAUAUCUGGCAUUUGCAAAAAAAAAAUUGAAUGAGACGAAUGGUCAAAUGUGCGACAAAAAGUCAACGGCGUCAUCUAUUAAAAAAACGGAGAGUAUGUACCUGCAUGCAGACUAACACUAUAUACAUCUCUGUACCUCACAACGAUCAGAAAAAUCUUACCGGUGCUAAUAAUAAACUUGUUUUCUAACCAAUUUAACCGGAUUAAUUUUUUUAUCUCUUAAAUUAUGAGGAGGUAUAUAUAUUCCUCUCGAAGGAUGGGAGACAACCACGGAUAAAAAAAUAGUAAAGAUCGUUUGGUUGAUAAAAAAAUAUGUAAUGAUCUAGAUUGUUUCUAUCACCACAAAAGAUAUCUUAAAAAAUAUCAACAAAUGUAUGCAUGCAUUAAUAUGACAUCCUUAGUAUUUGCGUGGUUAACAACAUGACAAUCUUAGCUAUUAAACUAUAGCGCAUGUGUACAUCCACCUGCAUGUAGAGGCUGGGUUUUUUAAUCCAUUAUCUAAAAAAGCUAUUAAACUAUAGGUUACUAGCCACACUUAAAUGGAGGCUUCAAUCUACAUAUAUAGCUAUUUGCUUUCAGUUUUGUAGUGACCUAUCAGAAAUAGUGUAUAACUUACCCAGAGGUGUUAUAGCCCUCAAAACUAUUUCAUCUACUGACUGGAUUUUGUGCAUGAUCUUGCAACUCAUAACUUUAUUUUUCCAUUGUGCCAUGCCAAACAUCUAAAUCCAUUAAAAUUGUAGAGAAUGCAAAAGAGUGACAAACAUUGCAUGACGAAAGGAAGUGGUUUGAAUAAACUGUCAAAUAUUUGUGUUACCCAAGUGCAAAUAUGGUAUUAUCUUCUUUUCAAACAUAUAUUUACUAUCAGGUUUGGUACUUUCUCUGGAACUUUUGGUUGGCACUGUUGGGUCAUGCACAGCCUGUUGCUUGUCUAAAAGAUUAAUUAGGUCAUGUUUAUUCCAUGUGGCUAUGUAGGCUGGAAUGCAUAUCAAUUAUAAUUUAUCCAUAGUUUACAUGGCCUAUCCAUCUUCUGCGUAUUUAUUAUGCAAGUAAAUCAUGACAAGAAGAUAUAAGAUCCAUGCACCAUUCCUAUGUCUGAGCUUAAACUUGUUCCAUGUCUAUUUGUACAAGGCCAUGCACACAUGUUUCUCAAUUAAAUUUUUAGAGUUAGUAGGUUUGUGCAAAUAUGUAUUUAAUCAUGCAGUUUUCAUACUAUACUAAAUAAAGAAAUUUGUUGAAUAUGUAUAUAUUACUACCUCCGUCCCAUAAAAAUUGCAUUUCUAGCUAAUUUAGGACAAAAUAGUAGGAUUGGAAAAUGACCACAAUAACCUUAUUUAAUGAACCCACUGCAUGCACACAUUCCAUAUAUACACAAAUGAUUAAAAGGAAGUUUGAGAGAAUUAACCCAUAUAAUUAGCAUACUUAAUAAAAUUACAAGCAUUAGCAGCCCAAAUUACGUGGGAUGGAAGGAAUGAAUCAAUUGGUUGGGCCCCACAUGGCUAGAAAUACAAUUUUUAUGGGACAAAGCCUUGGAGCUAGAAAUGCAAUUUUUAUGGGAUGGAGGGAGUAUUCCUUUUCUAGGAAACAUGUUCCUUGACUGCUUUCUAAAAAUAUUAUUUAACCUGUCGCUAUUAUUGAUUAGCUUUUAUUGCAAUUCUUAUAGAUCCUACAUUGUUCUGCUUCAUAUCUUCCACGCUCAUUGCAAGUAUUAAGGAAUGAUUGCAGGAUCUUUUGGAAUAAAGGGCUGAAGAGGCCACAAACUCAUGCAGAGCAUGCCAUUUCCAGCCAUAAGCUUCUUUCAAGUUUCAAGUAGUGAAAGGAUUCUUCAUGCAUCUAUCAUGAAAGAUAUAAGUAGGUACUACACUCCGCAAACAUGCACUUUUUGUUGUUUAAGUAAGCCAGGCGGUAGUUUCAGUUGUGGUGCAUGGAAGCCCCAUAUAUAUUUUUUCACAGUAUAUAUCUAUACAUGUGACCCCUUCUACCAUCUAAUUGCUCCAGUUAAAUUCCUCUAAUCAUUUUAUUCACAGAUGACGUUGCAGAUCAUUACAAGAAUGCAUCAAUGAUGUACAAAGCUAGCUAUUUCAAAGGGAUAGUACCAUUAUAAUGAAUAUUGUGGUUGCUAAUAGAUAUUUAGGUAUGCCAAAUUAAUAAGUCGGUGUGUGUAGUGUCAGGCUGCUAUAUUUUGGAGAUCAAUCAUUCCGAGGUUGCCUUUGUUCCAAAUUCUAUUGCGUUCGAUUGAGAUUUGCAGCGCACACGAAACGAGAAAGCUCAUUAGCACAUGAUUAAUUAAGGAUUACCUAUUAUAAACUUGAAAAUGGAUUGAUUUGACUUUUUAAGCUACUUCUAUAUAGAUUAUUCUUUUUUGCAGAAUAUGCACUGUUUAGCUGUUUGAAAAGCAUUCAGACUGAGCCAUUAAACAAAAUACACUUAUGUUCUGCAUGGUUAUCAAUGGUUGACAAUAUAUACUUCCAUGAUUUGGUUUUUGUUUGUGUAAAUGAAAUCAUAUAGGUACUAUAGGAAUGCAAUUAUCUGCUCACUGACUUGGCAUAGUUUCUAUUUCUAUAAGAUGUGUUCCUUUGUUCUUUUUUACGUUAAAAUGACAGAAAUCAAAUUUGGUGGAAAUGCUGCAUUUAUUCCAUGGUAAUUUAUAUCUAUCUACUUUUUGGAGAUCUCAAUAAAUAUUGAGAAUGUUCUUAGCUGCGGUAUUUUGUUACAAUAUUUUCUAAUAUUUUGUUGAUUCAUGAGAAGGUGUUGUUAUAACAAUAUUCAUAUUUAUUCAAACAUCAUGGUCGAUUAGUUGGAUAAUGGAAAUUGAGUCAAGGAUUGGAAAUUAUCACUUGGUCACUUAGAUAUGUGACACGAUGUGUUUUUUUACUCCAGAGGCUGAAUUAACAAAUGUGCUUUCUUAUUGUACUGAUGCCAUGACAAUCGUUUUUAAAUUUGUUGAAGGCAAGUGUUCCUGAUGGGGAGAUUUCAAGAAACUUUUCUUGCAUAAAGAUCGGCGGACUCUUUCUGAGGGACACAUUUUCUCCGCCACCAUGCACAUUGACACAGCCCUCUAUGCAAUCUGUUCCACAAGAACCUCCACCUGUGUCUGACUUUGGUCAAAAUUUUUGUCCUCAAAUCUAUCCAUUUGAGAAUCAACUAUUGAGAUUCACGUCAGGAACUCCUUUUAUGUUCCCUCUAUUGUCUUCAGCUCACUCCUUCCCCAUUACCUCCAAAGUUUGCUUGAAAAACUAUCAUCAUAUGUGAACCUCGUAUGGUGUGUCUCCUUAACACUAAUAGCAAAGUAAUACUCACGACAUCUAUAUGCCAUGGGAGAGCAACACGACCUAUGUGUUCCUAAAAACUCAGCUGAAGGCAUUUUUCAUUGGAUAUUGUCUGGUAAGGAUGAAGCUAAUCAGCAAAUAUAAUUGAUUAGCAGAGUAUCUGCAAAAUUAUCUUGAGCUUUUUUUGUGCUGAAUGCAGCUGUGUGCAUGAAGCUUAUUUGCAUUUGUGUGUUUUCCCUCUUUAGUUUUGACCAUCUCCUGAAAAAUAUUUCUUCGCAUAUUGGGUUACGAACCAAGGUUGUUGCUACUAGGUGCUGAUAUUUUCAUCCAGGUUGCUUACCCAAGAAUAACAAAGCAAAUGUGAUGAGUUCUACUGCGAGAUCUAAAACUGUUGUUUCUGAAAAGAAACCCCUCAUCAAAUUCGCUCUGAAUGUUCCAAGGGUUGCACAAACAGAAGCCCUUCCUGGAUUUACUAAACUGCUUGCAGCGAAACAAGACAAAUGGAUUUUACUAAACUGCUUGUCGUCCAUGGGUUGCACAAACAGAAGCUUUUACUGAACUGCUUGCAGCGAAACAAGACAAAUGGAUUUUACUAAACUGCUUGUCGUCCAUGCUGCGUUUGUUUGUACAUAUGAGACAACAUCUAUAUAUCUGCUCCUUUACAGACUGCUGCCUGUAAAUUUAUCUAUAUGUAAUGAACCUAUCUAUCACUAUCCGCCUUGUUAGUUCUCUCUUGUGUGCUUGAUAUUUGGUUUUCUAUUC